This 432-nucleotide ribosomal RNA is filed under the name Triticum aestivum (bread wheat). Its description in RNAcentral is "partial small subunit ribosomal RNA". Lineage: Eukaryota; Viridiplantae; Streptophyta; Magnoliopsida; Poales; Poaceae. The record is from RNAcentral.
AUGCACUACCUGCGUCGCCUCGGGCGCGGGCGAGAUGCAGGGCCGCGGGAGUGGCUUCAGCGCGGGGAGAGGCCGGAUCCUGGCCGGGCUUGGCCGGAUCUAGCUUCUCCGCCCCCGUUGGCCGCCCUCGAUGGGGCUCGGUGGCUUCGUUCCGGCGGCCAGCGAGGGCUGGAUCCCGGGGCGGCGGCCCCGGACGGCGGAGGAUGUGUCGGCGGCUAUGGACUCGUGACAGGCGACGCGGCGGCCGCGGUGGUGGACGAUCCGUGCACAAGACGCUUGAUGGAGGCCAUUGGAACAGAUCUGGGUGAAGACCUGCUCGUGGCUGCUGCCGAGGGCGGCGAUGGCGGCACUAUUCGGUGUCGUUCCCUUAUUGAAGGCAUCGCUGUUGAGAAGUUCCAGGCCACUAUAUGCUACCUUCGGGGGAAACCCUAG